CUCCGGGCUCCAGGGCAUGCGGCCCGGACGGCUGCGUUCAGGAGAGCAGCCUGGGGGUGACUCCCAUCCCCAGGGACCCCGUUGUGCUGCUGGGGACAGGCUGAUGAGUCCAGAACAAAGUUCAGCACAAAAAGGGCUGCGGUGGGGGCCACACGGGAGCCCAGACUCAGCCAGGACACUAGCCACACCGUGUCCCCCCCACAGUGGGAGUCAGCACCCACGGCUCAACCAUGGCCGGAGCCUGGUGGAAGCCCACGUGCACAGAUGAGUUUGAGAAAGGAGGAGCCAGCUGCUGGCAGGGCCGGGUGCCGUUACUCAGGAGGGAUACAGAGGUGCUCCCCAGCAGGACACUGGACAGAUGACCACAUCAGCUGCUUAAGGCCAAGGCUGUGCAGGAGCCGAUCGGUCCCGUUCCAGAAUGGCCCAACAGGGAACCAGGCGGUUCAUAGGUGCAGAAGGAGACACCAGGCCUGAACAUACAGGGGUGACUUCACAGCAUGGACCUGGGCUGAAGCCACAGAGAAAUGUCCCGGGAAGAAACCCCAGAAGACCCUCUCAGGCUUGACAUCCCCGCACUGUAAGAGCUGCCAGCGUGGGUCCCGGCUCGCCGUCUGCCAGCCCAGGCUCUUCAUCUCAGCACCCCGAGAGGCGGACCCAUCACCCCCACCUUUCAGGAACUGGGCUGAGGCCUCGCAGCCACCUGCCCAGCGGGGGCCUGGAACUGCCGUCCGGGCUUCCCAGAGCCCAGUGGCCCAGCCCUGCUCACUUGCCUGCUCCUCGGCGGGCCAGAAGCAAGACUGACCACGGGGCCCCACGCUGGAAAGGUGCUGCUGUUCUCUUGAGAGAGAAGACAGGAAGAAGAGGACGGAAAAGGCUGCCCCUAGCCUGCAAGGGCUUCCCAGGUGAAGGAGGGUGAGAUUUUCCUGGAUAGCUCCUUGGGGAAGAGCUCUCGGCUGGGACCCCGAUCCAAGGCGGGGGACGGGAAGCAGGUGGGCAGAGCUGGAGCACUUCACGGGAGACCGGGAAAGGAGGCCCCUGGCCCCAGCUGGCUGCCCACGAGGGUGAUGUGGACCCAGGGGGACAGGCACAGGAACACUGACCUCUGGGGCUUGGGGGGUGCUGGUGGGGAAUUGGGGAGCAGAAUAAAAUGCCUGGAUCUCCUCCGCAGAGGAGGAGUAGUCUUGAAACUGGUGUGGGAGGCCAAGAGAGAAGCUUUUGGAGAGAGAAAAAAGGCCCCUAGGGUUGACUUCAGCUUCAUGGGAUCCUGGUUCUGUCCUGGGCCCUGAGGUCCUCCCAUCCUUCUUCCCCAGCACCGAGUGCCUUCCUAGUGCAGGCCCAGCAGCCCCGGGGCUCAGAGUCUGCUCAGGGCUCCGGACCCAGCAUCCCAUCAGACCCCCCGGAGCCAGUGAAACAGACACUCGGGCCCCGCCCCCAUCAGGAUUGAGAUCCACGGGCUGGGCGUGGGCCCCGGGUGUGCGUUCCUCACACGGACCCUGCCCAGCAUUUAGGCCGGGAUUUCCAGGUUCCUGUGUGUACUUCCUCCUCUCCCACCCAGCGGCCUCCCCAGGGAGCCACUGGUAUGGAGCAGGGCUCUGCCUGCUCUGAGCCAAGCUAAGCUCGCUUACAUGCGGCGGGUCGGAGGCUUCCCUGGUGCCGCAGAGCAGUUUCCGCCACAGCCCCGUGACACAUGCCUCCUGCUGUUCCCGCACUUUCUCUGGGCCGGGCCUGUUCUCUGUCCCCGUCGGCCCAUAACCUCACACCCAUGGAGGGGAGGCCAGUGAUCACUGACCUCAUGGACAGGUGGGGAGCCCGAGGCCAGAAGCGACUGCUUGUUACCACAGCCAGGAGGCUGGACAGCAGGAGAGGGAGAGAGAAGCUCAAGCAGACCCUGCUCU
Enhydra lutris kenyoni (northern sea otter) is the source of this 1895-nucleotide long non-coding RNA. RefSeq lists it as uncharacterized. The transcript has 3 exons. Lineage: Eukaryota; Metazoa; Chordata; Mammalia; Carnivora; Mustelidae. The record is from RefSeq and is a predicted model, not a curated record.